Molecule: ribosomal RNA, 253 nt
Filed under: uncultured bacterium
Lineage: Bacteria
Description: partial 16S ribosomal RNA
Rfam family: Bacterial small subunit ribosomal RNA
Source: RNAcentral
UACAGAGGGUGCAAGCGUUGUUCGGAAUUAUUGGGCGUAAAGGGCGUGUAGGCGGUGAGUUAAGUCUUCUGUGAAAGCUGUGGGCUUAGCCUGCAAAGUGCAGAGGAAACUGGCUGACUUGAGUAUUGGAGAGGGCAGGGGAAUACCCAGUGUAGAGGUGAAAUUCGUAGAGAUUGGGUGGAACACCAGUGGCGAAGGCGCCUGCCUGGCUGAUUACUGACGCUGAGACUCGAAAGCAUGGGGAGCAAACAGG